UACGGGGGGUGCAAACGUUGCUCGGAAUUAUUGGGCGUAAAGCGCACGUAGGCGGUCCCUUAAGUCGGGUGUGAAAGCCCUCGGCUUAACCGAGGAAGUGCAUUCGAAACUGGGGGACUUGAAUACUGGAGAGGAUGGCGGAAUUCCCGGUGUAGAGGUGAAAUUCGUAGAUAUCGGGAGGAACACCAGCGGCGAAGGCGGCCAUCUGGACAGAUAUUGACGCUGAGGUGCGAAAGCGUGGGGAGCAAACAGG
Molecule: ribosomal RNA, 253 nt
Filed under: uncultured bacterium
Lineage: Bacteria
Description: partial 16S ribosomal RNA
Rfam family: Bacterial small subunit ribosomal RNA
Source: RNAcentral